This 387-nucleotide ribosomal RNA is filed under the name Staphylococcus aureus. RNAcentral describes it as "partial 23S ribosomal RNA". It matches the Rfam family "Bacterial large subunit ribosomal RNA", at positions 1493 to 1878 of the family's 2925-position model. Lineage: Bacteria; Bacillati; Bacillota; Bacilli; Caryophanales; Staphylococcaceae. The record is from RNAcentral.
UGCGAUUGGAUUGCACGUCUAAGCAGUAAGGCUGAGUAUUAGGCAAAUCCGGUACUCGUUAAGGCUGAGCUGUGAUGGGGAGAAGACAUUGUGUCUUCGAGUCGUUGAUUUCACACUGCCGAGAAAAGCCUCUAGAUAGAAAAUAGGUGCCCGUACCGCAAACCGACACAGGUAGUCAAGAUGAGAAUUCUAAGGUGAGCGAGCGAACUCUCGUUAAGGAACUCGGCAAAAUGACCCCGUAACUUCGGGAGAAGGGGUGCUCUUUAGGGUUAACGCCCAGAAGAGCCGCAGUGAAUAGGCCCAAGCGACUGUUUAUCAAAAACACAGGUCUCUGCUAAACCGUAAGGUGAUGUAUAGGGGCUGACGCCUGCCCGGUGCUGGAAGGUU